This 30-nucleotide ribosomal RNA is filed under the name Phialocephala fortinii. RNAcentral describes it as "partial 18S ribosomal RNA". Lineage: Eukaryota; Fungi; Ascomycota; Leotiomycetes; Helotiales; Mollisiaceae. The record is from RNAcentral.
UUCCGUAGGUGAACCUGCGGAAGAAUCAUA